UACGAAGGGGGCUAGCGUUGCUCGGAAUCACUGGGCGUAAAGCGCACGUAGGCGGAUUGCUAAGUCAGGGGUGAAAUCCUGGAGCUCAACUCCAGAACUGCCUUUGAUACUGGAGAUCUUGAGUUCGGGAGAGGUGAGUGGAACUGCGAGUGUAGAGGUGAAAUUCGUAGAUAUUCGCAAGAACACCAGUGGCGAAGGCGGCUCACUGGCCCGAUACUGACGCUGAGGCACGAAAGCGUGGGGAGCAAACAGG
This 253-nucleotide ribosomal RNA is filed under the name uncultured bacterium. Its description in RNAcentral is "partial 16S ribosomal RNA". It matches the Rfam family "Bacterial small subunit ribosomal RNA", at positions 524 to 776 of the family's 1533-position model. The record is from RNAcentral.